UUAAAUUGAAGAGUUUGAUCAUGGCUCAGAUUGAACGCUGGCGGCAGGCCUAACACAUGCAAGUCGAGCGGUAGCACAGAGAGCUUGCUCUCGGGUGACGAGCGGCGGACGGGUGAGUAAUGUCUGGGAAACUGCCUGAUGGAGGGGGAUAACUACUGGAAACGGUAGCUAAUACCGCAUAAUGUCGCAAGACCAAAGUGGGGGACCUUCGGGCCUCAUGCCAUCAGAUGUGCCCAGAUGGGAUUAGCUAGUAGGUGGGGUAACGGCUCACCUAGGCGACGAUCCCUAGCUGGUCUGAGAGGAUGACCAGCCACACUGGAACUGAGACACGGUCCAGACUCCUACGGGAGGCAGCAGUGGGGAAUAUUGCACAAUGGGCG
RNAcentral lists this ribosomal RNA (380 nucleotides) under Klebsiella pneumoniae IS39. Its description in RNAcentral is "SSU rRNA". It matches the Rfam family "Bacterial small subunit ribosomal RNA", at positions 1 to 377 of the family's 1533-position model. Lineage: Bacteria; Pseudomonadati; Pseudomonadota; Gammaproteobacteria; Enterobacterales; Enterobacteriaceae. The record is from RNAcentral.